CUUUUUGUGCAUAAUGUAUAUAUAGGGGGGUGGUAGUACUCUUGGGGUAGAGAGGCAUGUGCUGGGAUGGCAUGCCAAGGCAUGUGCUGGGAUGGCAUGCCUUGGUGUGUGCUGGGAUGGCAUGCCAAGGACAAGCAUGUGCUAGGAAAGCAUGCCAAGGCCAAGGCCAAGGCAAGCACAUGCAUUGUGAGCGAGAUGAGACGGUUGUCUUUACCCCAAGAGUGCCCAAGGGAGAGGAAAGAGGUGUCAAACGCAUGCUGAGCCCCACUUCGGUAGUUUGGCACCCCCAUACACACCCAAUAUCUAUCAUCAAUGGACGUAGUUCCUGCAUGGCCCCAUAGGUAUUCAGGCAAGCGUGCCUAUGGGUAAAGUCGCUUGAGCUUGCCAACACCCAUGUUAGCUGUAGUCUGGACCGAUGAUGGCACAAGGAUGCUUGCUUUAAGGUAACAUUCCGGCAGCACAGCCAGCCUGCAAUUGCUAGUUCAAGCGGGUGGAAUCUGCCUAUAGGGGUGUUGCUUGCUUGCUGUGGAUUUGGGACACGCCCAAUAUCUAUCAUCGACCCAACGAACUGCUCAACAUGGGUUGCUGAGGGCUAUUUUGGCACUGAUGGUUCACGUGUUUGCUUGGCUUUGAUAAAUGUUUAGAUGUCAUGAUGCUUGGGAUCCAAUAAAUUUAUGUGGGAAGCUGAGAGCUGGAACCCAAUGUCAUUCACCAGACGGCUUAACUUCGUCAGUGUGUAUAAUAUGUCAUUGAACCCCAAUCCUCGAUGCCAACCUGAUUAUGACUUUUGGAUCGCAAUUAUCAUGGCUAUCGAAAACUGAGUAGGAGUCAUGGAAUAAGUGAACAAUUUGUAGCCUUUAUAGCUGUCAGCUUUCGCAUCGCCCGGUGUGUUUUGGGAAUCGCUUUGUGCAUUUGGUUGCCUGCCGUGCCUCUUGGCAUACGGUGGGUGCCACUUGUCGGGUGGUUUUCGGAAACAUUCACCGUAAAGGUGCAUGAGUGGUGUUUGGUUUGUUACGGGUGGUUGGCUCUUUGUUUGCGCAACAACUUCCACCUGACUUACCUCUUCAGAUGUUUGCCUAGGCUUGUAUAGCCUAAGCAGAUUGCGGGUUUCCUGUGUUGCCUACCUACGUCACGGAAUUGUCCCGAUCGAUCAAAGUUGCUUUCGUCUUGUGUCGUCUUGAUGGCAUAAGAUGAACCAUGAAGCUGUCUCUUUGCACCGCAUCGUUAAUGCAUGCGUUGAUGUUGUGGCCCAUUGAGCAUUGCUUGGUACCUUGGAUACGGAACCUUAUGUGGGCAUGGGUCCUUGGGGAUCCUUGUUCUGCCCUCGUUUAGCGUUCGCGCUUCUCUUAGAAUGACUGCCUAGCCGGAAUGUUAACCCAUUGUGGAUGGGCAUCGUCAAAGAGGAAUGC
This 1409-nucleotide unclassified non-coding RNA is filed under the name Helianthus salicifolius. RNAcentral describes it as "partial external transcribed spacer". The record is from RNAcentral. Lineage: Eukaryota; Viridiplantae; Streptophyta; Magnoliopsida; Asterales; Asteraceae.